Long non-coding RNA from Amphiprion ocellaris (clown anemonefish), 12247 nucleotides. RefSeq lists it as uncharacterized. Lineage: Eukaryota; Metazoa; Chordata; Actinopteri; Pomacentridae. The record is from RefSeq and is a predicted model, not a curated record. The transcript has 6 exons.
UAUUCCUAAAAUCCAGACAGAGGAAGAGGAAGAUUUAGAGAAAGACAGAGAAGCCAGACUAGUGAGAGUGUGGUUUGUGUGACCACAUUGCGAUGGCAAGCUGAUUUAAAAGUGUGCAGAAAGCUUGCAAUAGCGGCCCAAGUUGUUUUUUUUACACACUCAUUGACCUGUCUUCAUUGUCACCCAAACUACCAACUUUCCUCCAAUUUCCUAAUUCUGUUCACCCAGAUGAACCACUCCUCCUUCCCACCAUCUUCAUCAAUCUCUCAUCACUACAGCCCUGUGGAGGCGCUUGGGAACAUCUGCAGAGCAGCCCAGCCCGAUGACACAUCACACAGAUAAUGACAGGCCUCAGGGCACAGCUGCAGAGUUUAUCCUCCACCACUCACUCUGCCGCUCACAGCGACAGCAGCGUCCCGUUCUGUAUGCUGAGCUACAAUCCUCUAACAGUACUGAGGCGGCUGGGUCUUUUCUGAAAGUAAUUCUGUGAUUGCUGCUCCAGAAACUGUCAAAAUAUCACAAAGUAACACUGCAGCAUGCAUUGCGUGACAGCUGUAAAGACAAACAAUCCUGACAAAAACCAAAUGUGCUGAUAGGUGCUUGUGUUACAAUCAAGCUUUAAACACGCCUUAGAAUCUGAAACUCACACUGAGUUUCAGAUUCUGCCACAGAUGCCGGUUGCUUUGCGAUUGAAGGCAACCAGCAAAUGUCGAAACUCAGCCAUCAAAAACGCAUUCAGUAUUGCUGCCUUUUGUUCACUAUUUGUUUCCUUAUCAGCUAAUUCCCAGACCUGAUCCAGCUCUGGUCAAAGGCUACACAUGUAAGAUAUGAGCGUGAGCUUGUGUGCACAGCUAUACGUGACAUUUUACAUAGAGUGAAUGGAAAAACCAGCAGGUGUCAGAAAGAGAAGGUUUCAAUAACCUUUUGAGGGAAAAAUUCGGAUGAACUGUCGUCCUGUUGAGACAAGAAAAGAGGUUUUGUUUGUGUGUCUGUCACUGUGCAUCACACUGGGUGGGAAACACAGUAUUUUAUCAUGUGUCAAUGUUCAAUCUUACCUGCACUUGAAACAGAAAAUUCAGAAACAAAUGCUGUACGCAGUAUUAAAAUUUGAUGAAGCAUGAUGCAUUGGUGCUAAAGCCUGCCCAGUCAUGCAGUGCUGUAGUGCUCCAACCAAGGAAGUCAAGUCAAGAAGCAUCAGUGCUGGGAUGGCAGAGUUUAAACUCAGUUUAGUGUGGACAAAACUUGUGUUUUUUUUGUUUGUUUACUGGUGAUUUUAGCUAUUUGUGCCAGUUAAGCCCUUGUUUAUAGUCAGAACCAGGAAUCUCAGGGUAACACUUGAUGCUAAAAAUUUGCUUUAAUGACAUAUGGCAUAUGACAUAUAAUCCAUAUGGCAACAUGCUUUACUCUGGUAUUAGCCAUGCAGGGCUCGGUCCACUAUCUAGAGCUUCUAUAAAACACUGCUGCUGAACUCAUCACCAGGACAAACACGUAUGAUUGCAUCGCCCCUGUGCUUUCCUCCCUUCACUGUGUCUCUGAAUUUCAAACUGAUUUAAACUAACUUCUAAGUGCUUAAAUAGCCUCGCUUCUAAGUGCAUCGCUGGUUAUUUAACCAGGUAUGCUCCCUCUCGAUCGCUGAGUUUUGCAGAUGGAGAGUCUCAGUUUGUGGCAAAGGCUGAUUGUCCUUUUGCUAUCAGAGCCUCCACACUGUGGAAUUUCUAUUAAAUAUCUUCUUAAAAUGUAUCCCUUUGUGAGAAAACUAUUGGAACUGUUUGAUAUAUUUUAUCUGUAUCGAAUCUAAUUCAUUUUACCUCCUCCGCUCAUGUCCUCAUUCUCAUUUUAUCAACAUUGUCUGGUUUCAUUUCUAAGCACUUUGUAAUGUUGUUAAGAGAAAUGUCCUUUGUUUAUACAGUGUUAAGACAUUUGCAGAACCAGCUUUGAUCAUUCUAGCUCAAAAAUGAAACUUCUUAAAACCUAAUUUAGGCUUUAUCUUGGCUUUAACUGAAAACAAAGAUCCUCUAUGCAACAUACAGGAGGUGUUACUCUCCUGCACGUCCGCUGAGCUGGUAAAUGGCUCACAGUCAGACAGUGUUACUUCCCAGCAUGUUUGCAGCAACACCGGCUUCUCACAGUUUGCAUAAACAGAGCUUUUUAUGGAGGGCUCUGGAGGACUUUACAGUGUUUACACUCUGCUUUCAUAACUCGCUCUUCAACUGUGUUUACAGUGACUUCGGGUGGGGGUGAUUCAACGGUAUAUAAAGAAAAGCCAGUGAUCACAAGAAAGGAAUGACUCCAGAGAGGUAUCGGUGGAUAAAACAUAAAGGUGUGUGGAUCCAGGUAAAGAGCCACCGUACCUGUGUGACUGGCUCCUCCUCUGUGUCCUGUGUGUUUAAGACUGUGGCAGCGUUGUCAGCACCCAGCAGUCUGCGAGCCAUCUUCUCCUCAUAGGUUAACCUCUGGAAGCAGGGAUUAAUGGGGUCAGCGUGGGUUAGUGUCAGGAAUGCUGAAGACAUUCUUCUCUGGAUUGGAGUGGGAAAGACAUCGCCAUCAAAUGGGAUUAGCAGCAGGAGUGGAGGAGGAGGAGGAGGAAGGAAGGAAGGAAGAGCCGGAGAGGCAGAAAGUGAAGAAAUCAGCGAGUGAAAGAGUUACGGCUGAUGGAUGGAUCAGCAGCUUUAGAAAAGGUGUGUCUGACAGUGUCAACUCCUCAUCUCCUUCCUGUUUCCAAGGGCAACCAUCUAGUGGGAAGUUCAUCAGGCUCGUCCAUGCAACAGCCACAGCGGCAGGUUGCCACAGAAUACGAAAAUCGGGGGAGUCCAGGAUCUCGUUUCCCUGACGGUACCAUCGGACCUGCAGAGGAGGACUUCCACGGACUCUGCACUCCAGAACCACCACCUGGCCCUCAGAUGCCUGGGCGUCCUGCAAGAGCUGCACAGAGGAGAAGGUUGAUCAGCCACAGAGGAGUUAAAAAAGAAAAAUGAUGUCAAAUGGACCUGCUAACACCAGAAGAGGAGGACAGAGUUAGGAUUUAUGGAGUGUCCUCUGCCCAUCAUCCUGUUGAACUUGUCUUGGAUUACCAUCCUCCUGCCGUGCAUGACUGCUGCCUUUGUCCACAACAGACAUGCUUCAUAUUAAAUCUGGUAUUCCACUUCUUCAACUGUCACUGAUCCACUUAUAUAACUCCCUACAAAUCCCCUCUCCCUCUUUUCUCAUGUCUUAUUUAACCCUUUGUCAGAUGAUGGUUUAGUUUAGCAGUAAUUUAUUGACCAUAUAUUUGAGAAAAAAGCAUUCCUUCUUGUCGUUGUCCAAAGACACAGUAAAAAAUAUAUGUUAGGGUAUUUGGGGAAAAAAGCCUCCUUUCUCAUGGUAUUACACGACACACUGAUUAAGCAGAAAAUGUGAUUUCAAAGAGCCCAGAAUCCUCUUGGCUGUGUCUAAGAUUAUUAAACCUCUGGAUUAAAAGUAGAGCCUGACUGAUGGUGGCUAUUUGAGCGCCAGUUCCUAAAGAGUGAAUGUACUGGUCAAUAUUCCUCAUAUGCGUAUAGUAUAUGUAGAUAUAUACAUGCAGUAUGUUAGAGUUGCAUUGAAAAGAGAAAGUAAUGGAGCCAUUUUUUAACUUUCAAGCAAUGCAUUUUAACAAACUAUGACACCACUUUACUCCGCACCAUCAUCUGCUCAGCUCAGUACUCUGCUGCAUGUGCUGCAGGCAGUGCUGAGAGUAUUACCACUCUUUUGGAUAAACUGUGGGAUAAAGCGCUUUCUAAAUUACUGAUAUCUUUUUUUCCACCAUUAUGUUCUGUAAGAAAUAUAAAUAAAACUGGCAUACAUCAGGCAACUUUUACACAGAUACCGAUUCAUCAAUCCAGUUAAAAGUUGUAUUAUCCAACACACACUAUAACUGUUUGACGCAAACAUAUGUAAUUCCUGCAAAGCUAAAUCAGCACAAUGAAAACUCACACACACACACACACACACACACACACACACACACACACACACACACACACACACACACACACACACACACACACACACACACACACACACACAGAGGUUAAAGGAACAUGAUUUCAGUGUGUUUGGCUGAGCAGAAAGAUUAAAGCAUUUUGGCAAGAGUCACAUUUGAGAAGAUUACUUUGAAAAGAAUUUCAAGUUAUUUCUACUAAGUCUAGAUCAGAAAGCACAUAAUUACAAUUAAAAAAGAACAAAUAUUGAUGAACCUUAGUUUUCUAAAUUACAAAAACUCAGUAACAGAUGAUGUCAAACCUUUCACGAGAACAAAUAACUUUGAAGAGAAACAAUUUAGAUAGUUUUAGGACCAUUUAUGGAUUAUGUAAAAGAGCUGAAUUUGACUGAGAAUCUUGCUGAAGAAUAAGAAUAAAUGUUUGUUCUAAACCAUGUAGACUUUAUAAAGGUGUAAAGAUGUAUCAGAGUCACUUAGGAUAGUGGAUAUGGAUUGUUGUCUGUUAGAUGAGAGGAGCAGUUCACUGUUAAUGUGGUUUUUUAAUGCAUUAGUGUGUUUGUUGUUUGAAGUUAAAUAGAAAUGGCAUGAGAAAAUGUUUAAAUGUUCUUGUUUUGCAUUAUAAGUUUAUCAUGUGUUUUAGGUGUAGGUAAACCCAGAAAAAUGAAAGAACACGUCAUAGUCAAAGCUAUAUGGAGCUGCCUUGUCUUUGUAUGUGUCCAUGGUGGAGAAGAGGAUUAAUGUGAACUUUGGGUCUGUAAGUCAUUAGCAGUCGAGGUCAGAACCCUCUGAAACGCUGAGGCUGGAAGGUGAGCAGGAAAAGUCUCACCUCGUCGGGUGAAACUUCACACUCUGUCUCCAGGCCAGAGGAGGGCCGAGGCCACGGCUGAGGCUCAGACAGGGCAGCUCCAUCCGUCACAACCGCUGUUAACGUACCAGUGCAGAAUACCACUGACAGACGUCCAUCUGACUGUUUUACUGCUGAUAGCUCACAGUCUACAUGUACAGAAUCUGCAGCAGGCCAGGUCUGAAAGUGGCAGAAAAGGUGUGCAGGGUCUGCUGAGCGGUGAUAUAGAUUACAUGAAAGUUUGCCUAUUUAUGGUUCCCUCACAAAAGUCUGUGGCAGCCUACAGUGAACAAGCUCAAAUAUACUCACGCCUUCGAAAACAUCUUUGCAACUGAGUUAUGAACACGGUUCGGUUAUCAGCAAGGUGAGAACUAAAUAAUACGUCAAGCUGACUACCUCACACCAGCAUGCAAAACCUCCGUACAGUUUCUGUAGUUAAAGUCACACCUUCUUAAAUGUUUUCAUGUUCCUGGAAUGUUAAGUUCCUGACAAAUAGCCCCCAUAUAGUGUAAUGUUACGGCCUCAGUGCAGCACCCACAGUCUCUCCAGGCUCUCUCAUUACUGGGGCUUAAAUAUGAAAUGACAUCAUGCUUGCAAAAAAUUUUUUUAGGAAAGGCAGGUAUAAAAAUACCAGCGCUUUUCCCUUUUCCCCUCCUUCCGCUGAGAUCAAAUGAGCCCAUGAGGGAGAAUUUAAAAUUACGGCCUUCCAGAAACAGGCCAAACAGUCAGCAUUACAGUCGGGCUGCGUCAUGAGUCAGCAGUGGGUCACCUGCUAUGACCUCAUACCGAGUCUGUUUCACAAACCCUAGGAGGAAGGGCUACUGUAAGUGUUAGCUGCAGUAAUGUAACAGCUUCUGCAACAACAGGCUGGUAUGUCAGGAGUGUAUUGUUCUUAUAUCUGCGUUUGAAAGUGUCUGAAGUCAAUGUAGCGCCAAAAAGUCUGCAGGAAAUGAGCAGGGAAACCGAAAACCAAAUCAAAUCAGAAGCCAAAUGAGAAACCAUACUGACUUUUAACAAUACUGAUGUUCUUCCUUAAUAUGUUCCAUUAACAUGACAUGAUCUUUCUUCAGUUUUAACAAGCCGUGAACCCAAAACACAAAUUAAACAGCAGCCAAACAAGAAACCAAAAUGACUUUUAUAUGUUUGUUCCAUUUACAUCAUAGUCACUGUCCCAUUUCAUGUUUUUGUGACACUUCACAUAGGUUGAAUAUUUUAGAUUAAGUGAAAAACAUAAAAGAGAGACAAUCAUAUCAAACUAUCAUGUCAUAUAAUAAAGACAAACUGAUUUUACAACCACAAGUGAUGUCUGCAACCCUUUUUGCAUUUUUGUUUAAUAGUUCAGUCUUGUUUUGGUCAGUUUGGGUGCUCAAUAAGGGCUUUGAUUUACCAUUUUGUGUAUUUGCAAUUACAAAUUACACAUUAAGAUCCCCUUUUCCUUCGUUAACAUUUUCAUAUGGUGUUUUGUUUCAUGCUGAAGGAUACAUCAUGAGUAAAAUUAACAGUCAAAACCACCUUGAAACUUUUGUGUACCGAUGGCAGUCUCAAAAACACGGAUUCAAACUUCCGAAGAAUCAUAAACCUAAAACAACAGACCUUGCCAACUUGUAGGGUGGGGAUUCCCGUACCAUCAUUGUUCUUGAGAAUCGUUUUUUUGUUUGAGCAUGUACACCUGAAAUAAUCUACAUCCUUUAAAAGCAGGUGGGGAUUGUUUUAGCAGAAAAAAAUUCUUAAUAUCUAACUUUGAGACAGAGAAAGUGUCCAGUAGGAAGCUGUGCACAGGCCAGGAAGUAUUUUUCUCCAACCAAACAGCAAAUACAACAUAUAUAUAGAGAAGAAUUACAGCAUAAACUACUGCUGUGAGUGGUUUUGAAUGUGUAAGUUACAGUAGAAAGAGGAAAGUAUAUCUCAAGGCCUCAAACAUUAUGAUUAGACAGUGAACGGCUGCAGCUUUGUGAAAGGAAUUGUUCCACAAUAUGAUCAAGUUUUAGGGGUUCUAGACCUAAAUCAUAUCUGUUAGAGGGUCGGACCUUUCAGAUUAGUUGCAAAAAAGGAUAAAUAGAGCAAUUUAUUCAGUACAAAGAUGAUAAUUUGCAAACAAAAGUAAUAUGUAGUAGAUGCUUGUGUGCCCUUUCAUGUCUGUGUAUCUGGCUGAUCGGUUUUAGCUCACAGAGGCGAAGUAUGCUUAAGUUUGAACAAGGAUCAAACUGAAUAUUUGACAACAAAUUCCAUCGUCAAUCUAUGGAAUGUCGUCUCCUCCUGAUGUUGGAGACGCCGCCUCACAUAGAUGUUUUAGCAGAAUUCCUCGGCGGCCUCUCAACGUCCAAAAAGUUUCCCCUGUGGUUUUGCGUAUUUGGUUAAAACCAAGAAACCGCGGCUGCUCUCUACUGUAACUGCCCAUCUCUCUGUCCAUUCAAAACCAAGUCAAGUUUUGAAAUUCCUUGUUUGCACAGCAUGCAGUUAGCUUAAUGACAUGGAAGAGCAUCAGACAAAAUGCCUUUGAAUGGCAUGCCACAAUUGGAGACGGGUUUUCUCUGUCGGCUUUGCAGUUUAAUGAAAUAGUGGGAUAUCAGGCACCUGUUUGGAGUUCUGCACAAUGAGACCUCACACGAUCAAUUUUGUUUAGAAAUGCUCUCUUUAACAGCACAAACUCACACACAUGCCCUGACUGAGCACAUUCCCUUUCUCCUCAUGCCAAGAGCUAAUCUUAACCCAAAGCUCGCUUGUUGAAGAAGCGAAAACAGGCCAAAUGACCUCAGACUGAAAAAAUGCUCAGGUUUCCACGAGGAUAUAACUCCCAUGCAUCCCAAUACCAGAGAUGCAUCAUUAUAAACAGAGCGUUACAUAAAGCAUUGUGUGUGAAGAGCAUGAGAGCACUCUGAAGAAUACCAGGCGCUCAGCACCGUAAGACUCUCUGGCCGAGACAAAUUGUGGUUGACCACGGAGGGCCGCGCCCAGCAUCCAGCCACCAGGAAUUCCUCUUUCACUGGCUGUGGAAAACGCUGGCAUCAUCAGCUCAGCACCAACCACUGAUACUGAAAGAACGAGGAGGCGCAUCACCUGCACAUUGGACUGCCGACUGCAUCAAAGGUGCUGCUCAUAGGAAAUGAACACUAAGUGGAAAGAAGGCAUUUAAAGCUGUUGAUUAAACCUGUAAAAACUCAUCUCAGCACAAUAAAAUAGUCCCUUCAUGCCUUAAAAUGAUUUAGAUCUAUAGAUCUAUAAACUACUCAUAUGUAUCUACACCCACUCCUCCUCCGAGCACACCAGCUGACCUACAGCUCAACACCUCAAACACUGUAAAACUACUCUACGCUACACAAAGACAAGUUCUGAAGAAGAAUAAUGACAUUAAAAGUCCCUUCUUGCAAUCUGACAGAAUGAAUUCCUUUAGUUUUGGACAUACGAAGAUCCAGAAGUCUGAAUUUAUGCUCAGCCCUGGCGUUGACUGCUAGUUUUGCUCAUAAUGUGUCUCCUGUUAAUCAAAUAAAACCAUUACUUUUUACUGGAGAUGAAGAACAAAAUAUCCAAAUGUGAAACCAAAAUCAUGAAUGACAAACGUAACAAACAAAAAACAACUCAAUGCGAAUCAAAAGAUGCAAAUAAUAUAAAACAGGGUUGCAAGCAGUUUGCGAAAUUAGUUGGUUUAAUAGUGUGACAGUAAUGACUGUUUUCCUUUUUGAUAUUCUGCUUGUGUGGAUGUUUUUUAGUUAAAUUAUUCAAUCCUGUGGGGAGUAUUAUAUCAUGUAAAUGGAAUAUGUUUAGGAAGAGCAAGGACAUCAGUAAUAUUAAAAGUGAGUUUGGUUUCUUGGAUUUGGAUUUGGGUUUUGGUAUCAGGGCUAGUUUUCUGUUUAUUCCCUGCAGACUCUUUGGCGCUAUAUUGACUUGAGACACUUUUUACAUACAAAUACAGGAAAGAUGCAGUUGUGGCACACCGGCCUGUUGUUGCAGAAGUAUGUAUCAUUCUGUAGCUAAGUGUUGCAGUAGCGCUUCUUAAUGGUUAAUGAUAAUGUGUCUCCCCACAUAAAAAAAAGCACCAUUUUUUUAAUCAAUUCUUUAAUGCGUAAGUGUUUGCUUGCACACUUAUUACUACUAACUGCGUACAAACUCUCAAAGAAAGGCUGUAAGAAAGGUCCUCCAAUACAAAAUCAAGUGAGGAGUUCUUAUGAGCUUAAUGUUCUGUACAUUAAUCACAUACAACUAGAGCUGCAGCAGAGAAAACUUUGGCUUUGGAAUUCUGACUUUUUGACUUUCACUGAUAGAAGAUGCUUCCAGAAGGAGCACAAUUCUGCUUUGGAUAGUAAACAAUUUGCUGCCAUCUAGUGUCCACAAUCAGUAGGCAACACUGGAAAGUCCCAAUGUGCACAGACAAUACUGAGUACUUAUCUGUCAAAGUGUAAAAAAGACAAUCAAUCAACAAAAGCUGCUGCCAAAAUCUGCACUCAGCUCCAGAUCUUUCAGUCUCAUUAUAUAACAGCAACUUAAUUCACUUUCUAAUGCAUCGAUAUCACAACCUUUGUAGGAGGAAAAGUCAAAACACUUUUCUCACUUCCCAUUCCUCAGCUUUCUGUUCAUUUUCUGUGUUAUAUAACGUCAGUACUGUCACAGUGUCUGGCCUCUCCUGUUUCCCUGCAGUCCAACACGCCACACGCUACCUUCAUAUUCCCCAAGAAGGUGUGGGGAGAUGUGGAGCCUGGUGACUGAAAACGCCUUGUCAUUGCAUUGCCUGCAUUCCCGUGCCUGGCUCCUAUUGGCCUGAAGACUAUUUAUACAGCCGCAGCAGAGGCCCCUCAUAGCCUACUGGGGAGAUACACUUCCUGGGCUGCUGGCUUUAUGUCUCCUGACUGCACAAACACCUAAAUAUGUGGAAACUCCCUGAAACAAAACCUUGCUUUGGAGGGUCUAUCAUUGCAAACAAAACUGGUUAAACCCACAUUAUUUAAAUACAAAAUAUGGUUGCAGUGUGUCAGAAGAGACAAAACAUGCAUAAAGGGCAAUUUCAAGAGGAAACGCAAGAGAUAUAAUCUCCUCGGUAUUCAGAACAAGUGCAUUUGUCGCCCCCAACAAAUAUAUGAAGGAAGCAUAUUCCUUUUGGACACAAUAGAGAUGCAUGCAGAGAAGAUACAAAUUGCUGCAGAAAAAUUCACCAGAACGUAGAAAAAGAAGUGCUAAAAAUUUCCAACACAGUCUGUGUCUUCCCGCAAGCCUAUGUUCUUGUUAUUAAGACAAGAAAUUUAGUGAAAUGUGUUCAAAAUGAUGCACAAAUUUUCCAGUUUCAUAUAAAACUGCAACCUCUAAUCGUAAAUUGACUUCUAACAAUUAAAUGAAGUGCUGCAAUAAGUAAAUAAAAUAUAUCCUGGAUGUAAAAAAAAGCCUCCAGAUGUAAUUUUAGGAUUUAUUAGUUAAAAUAGGAAUCAGUGUUGUAAAUUAGACUAUUAUGGAGUGUGUCGUCCUGGAUCACAGAAAUUCAUCCGGAAAAGACCAAUUAAAUUGAAACGUUAAUUAGUUGAGGUAUGUCCCUGUAGUAAACAGCGAGCAUGUUGACUAGGCUGUGAGGUUGACAUAUCUAGAAACAAGAGAGGAGUGUAUUUUUAGUUUGCUGAUGAACUGGUGUAAAUAACCAGGGGCAGGCAGUGCAGGCCUACAGGAAUAACAGUUGAUCCAGGAAUAAAUGAGACGGCGUCCCUGGCACAGGUAACUCUGGAUAAAUGUGCUUACACAGAGCAGACGUCCCCCUCAGCUCAGAACCAGGGGCUCUGCUUGUCAACACAUUUGUAAUUCUCGCCUCCAGGCCUCCUCCCUCUUCUCUCACCUUAUCUGAAAAGUCCAACUGAGCGAGGCCGGAUCCUGACUGUUGGUCUGGUCAACAUCACUCACACUGAGGUACAGAGGUCUGCUCAUAUAGUGGAGGUCAGAGAUUUCUGGAUUCAGAUUUAUUCUACGUCUUGAGAUGAAAAUCACUUUUCUUAGAGGGACUUUUUAUCUUUGGGUUGCUGACAGAACAAGAUGUUUGAGGAUGACAUCUUGGGCUCUGAGAAACACCGAUCACCUUCUAAUAUGCAAAACAACCAAUCAAGUAAUUGAGAAAAAUAAUUGCCAAUGAAAAUAUUAGUUAGUUGUAGCCCCUUUGCAGAGACAGAUAUCUCAAAACUGGAGAAAUAAAACUAAAACCAUCUGCUAAGGAUUUAGAUAUUUUUUCUUAAUUGAGGUGAAGCAAUUCUAAUUUCACUUGGUUUAUAAAGGUCAGAACAAAUGUGAAUGAUAAGCAAAAUAAUAAUAAGAAUAUUGCGAUUAUUUUAACAGGUGUUGUGAGUCCAACAUUAGUCACAAUUUUAUAGAAUUGCACAUUAAUUUCAAUUCUUUUCCACUGAAAAAAAUAUCAAAAUGUGAUGUGAAUUGUGCAGCAUGUUCAGUUAUGUCUGGAGAAUAUAAUUUCUAGGCUGUGAACUCUCUGUAGCACUGCAAUGUUUCAAUUAUAAUGAUAAGCUCCUGCUUCUCUGUGAGUAUUGCACUGCGCCAUACUGCAGUAUUGAUAAUAUUUUGAUUAUUUGUACAGCCCCAGUCAGAGCCAGCUUUCUUAUACAGCCUUCUUCAUUACUGAAUGUUUUUCUUUACCAGGAUGGAUGUCAGAACUCCUUAGCAUACUGCACCAUAUCACCCCAAAAAUCAAGGCGUUUAUACAGUUGAGCAUGUUAGCUUCAGGACAAAACAUCUACUUCACAAUACAGCAGUCACCUUCAGCAAACCAGCAAAGCUAACAAAUCAAUUAAAGCUAUGAAAACCAUCAUUCAACAGGGUUUGUUGAGAUUUCCACGUUUUACUGCACUUUGCUUUUUUUUAAAAACCAUCUUGGUGAAAUUAAACUGUGUUCACCAUAAACUUGCAAAGAGGCAACCCUUGUGAGAAAAUUUUAAAUCAUUAUUUAGUAAAUGGGAAAAGCGCAGGCAGAUUUGUGCUAGUAAAUAAAAACUGAUGCUUGAUAACCACAUGCAACAUAAAUAAUCAGUAAUGAAUCAGUUUAUGGGUAAACCGAUGAGCGACCUAGUAACAUAAAGUAGAUCAUUUUUAAAAAGCUAAAUGAAAGAAUCAAAUGAAAGAAAAAUUAACGGAACAAGUGAUUAUUUAAAUCGAUUAAAUACAAAACAAAACAAAAUGACCGAUGAUUGCAUUUUUUUAUUCUUUUUUGCUACCUUUUUGUGGCCAUGAUAACAAGUAGGAAUACAACUAAAUAUAUAAAAUAAAAGGAAGAAGAAUAAGAAUAUCAAACUGGAAGAUUCCCAAUAUUGAGUCAAUUUGAAAUCUCUCCACAGUAGUAAAUUUUAAAUCCAUUAUCCAUUAAACAUAGCAUCAUUAAGUGUCACUUUAUUUUUAUUAUAUGUAGCUGCAGGUAAGCAUCAAAUCCAACCCACACAGUAAAGCCAUAUUAAUGGGAUGAAAACCUACCUGAC